UUUUCCCUGUGGGGUUGAGUUCGCUCGGUGUCUCACUCCUGCUCGCGGGGGGGGGCCGGGGCCGGGGCGCGGGCGACAGAGACUUUCUCACUUCUCAAAGAUGUUCGCGGGAAGCGUAACUGCAGGGCGGCGGGCGGCUGCGCUCACACAAGCAUUGGGGCGGGCGCUGUGGCCGGGUGUUGGGGGAUUGGGCCGGAGGCCCGAGGACCAUGUGCAUGUUUGUCGGGAGCCUGAAGUCCCUGCAGGUCAGGGCCCUGCCCCAGGCUAGCCGCUGGGAGUGAGCAGCCCCGAGAGAAGCGGGUGGCAGGCCCGCUCAGGGCUUUGGGAACCGGAGCAGCAUCCUUCCUCGAGGCUGCAGAUUACCAAGGUGCCAGCAUGUGAUCACCAACAGCUGAGCAUGGUCUGCUCAGAAGGUGCCUCGUGUGCAUCCCACCAGGUGUUGAGCGCUGAAGAAUGAUCAGAGCAGAGUUUUAAAGCUGCCAGCGGUGGCCCAGAGACCUCAGCCCAAGAAGAGGCUGUGCUGCAGCAGAGGCAGAAUUCGAAGGCCCAAGGACCAGUCCUGGCCAUCCAUCCACGUGGACUCUGAAAACCGGGCCUUGACAGUUGGUGUAGAAAUGAUGCUCACCUCGUGCUGAGGGGACAUAAUUGCCACUGAGGGAACCAAGAAAUGGACUUGUCAACCUUUCCCUGGGACAGGCACUUUCGGUGUUAGUAGAUUCAUGAGUUUUUCAUCAUCGUCUCUUAACCAAAAGGAGCUUUUGCAUUUUAAAAUACUGUAAAUUUGUUAUAUUUGGUGUUUUAAACUGGAAAUGUCACAAAAUGUCCAUGCAGUUACAGUAAACACAAUGAAAGGAUGGUCUUUGCA
RNAcentral lists this long non-coding RNA (865 nucleotides) under Sus scrofa (pig). RNAcentral describes it as "lncRNA (ENSSSCG00060074270.1)". Lineage: Eukaryota; Metazoa; Chordata; Mammalia; Artiodactyla; Suidae. The record is from RNAcentral.